Long non-coding RNA from Sinocyclocheilus grahami, 324 nucleotides. RefSeq lists it as uncharacterized. Lineage: Eukaryota; Metazoa; Chordata; Actinopteri; Cypriniformes; Cyprinidae. The transcript has 3 exons. The record is from RefSeq and is a predicted model, not a curated record.
AUUUGGAUAGAUUUUUUGAUGGCAUAAAAGGCCCUUCUUGCUUUCUCUUUCAGUUCAUUCACAGCCAAAUUUAGCUUGCCAGUGGCAUUUAUCUUCAGCCCGAGUUUCUGACUGAACUCACUCGGCUGUUCCAGAAGUGCAGGACCACUGGCAGCGUCGUCAUCACUUUAAAGAAAUAUGACGGCAGAACAAAGCCGGUCCCCAGAAAAGGCCAUCCAGAGACGUACGAACCAGCCGACAACAAAUGUCUCUUCAGAGCAUCAGACGGCAAGACCAAAAUCAGCACAGUGGUGAGAAAACAGCAUUCAGUCACACGCAUGUGUG